Molecule: long non-coding RNA, 1875 nt
Filed under: Oryza sativa (Asian cultivated rice)
Lineage: Eukaryota; Viridiplantae; Streptophyta; Magnoliopsida; Poales; Poaceae
Description: long non-coding RNA (OSAT_LNC001755)
Source: RNAcentral
GCGAACUCCCUCUUCUUCUUCCUCCCCCUCCCACCCCCUCUCCAACCUAGGACCCUAACCCGUAGGGUCCUCUGUUAGAGUCUAGGGUGUCGCCAAUGCCGGAGAAGAAGAGGAGGUCGCCGGAGUUGGAGGAGAAGGCCUGGAGCAUGAAUCACAAAGCUCAUUCAGUGGUCCAAAAUCUGUAAGAUUUGAAGAUGGAUUUUCUAUCGAUAGAAGGUUAGUAAUUCCGUUUUAAAAAUUGUCUAAAAUACUUUUAAGCUUUGGCAUUUUAGGGAUGGGCUUAAGACAAUUUAAAUUUUAGAGAGCACUCAUUAGUUUGCCUUGUGUAUAUAUAUAGAAGCAUGGGCUCGAAAAGUUUUAACCUCCCUAGCUAGAGGCACUAUUUUGGUGAUUAAUUUUCCCAUUAAGUAAUGAGAUAAAUUUUAGAUAAUGGAAACUUUUAUUGAUCUCAGAUAAUCAUUUCAAGAUGAUGCACUAAAUCUAAGACCACAUCCUAUCUCUAAAUAACCGGGAUAUACAAAAAUAUAACCAUUUCAAAGAAAAACAGGAAAAAGAAAAAUGACAUGACAACAAAUUCAUGCCUCAGCAAGCUACAACCACAUAUUAUCUUCAUUUUCAUGCUCCACCACAUAGCAACAUUUGGACCGCGAAAAAGUCAUUCCAAAAGCAAUGUCUCCAAAAAGGAAGUGACACAUGCACAUAUGGUCGUUGCCAUGACUAACUAGCAAAAGCCAGACCAUAGGUUUUCAUCCUUCAAAUCAAAAUUUUCGAACUCUAGACAAUUCCUUUAAUAAGAAACUAAUUACCGCCAUCGCCAGGUACACUAGCUAAGGUCAGAGAACCCCGGAGUUGAGGAACCAGUACUCAAUGAGCACGACCUAGUCGAAGUCCCCCGGUGCUACCAUAACCGGCCCCUAGUUCCGAGCCGAUACCACCAUACACAUCCUAUCUAGUCUUAGCCUAGCUAACUGCAAACGGCGGCGAACCUGCAACCUUCUUUAGAGAUGCUACCCCAUGAUAAGUACAAUCCCAAAAUCCAUAUCUAGGGUACAUCUGAAGAGAGGAUGAGAUGCAUGUCAAUGUAAGCAAAUAUGUGAUUCAAAGCCAAGAUAACUCUAGCUAGACUACAUAGUAUGGAAGCUCUUGACUACAUGUUGGUAUGAAGACAUCGUCACAAAGAAUUAAUAGCCUCUCCGGCAAGGAUCUGAUCACCAAACUCUUGCCGACGGUCAGGAGCUAGCUAGUAUAUGGAUCCAGUCCGGCACCCCCGGUGGCAGUAAUGUCCCUGAAACAGCAUAUAACUAUUACAAGACACAUACAAACAAGUCAUUGUAUGAGGUUGAGAUAUGAUUAACAUAUUGAAGGAAAGAAUGAUUCUCUCAAUAGUUUUUAAGUUUGUGGAUAUACUACUAUAUAACAAGUGUACAUAAUUUUUCUCUCUUUCUUUUUUCACCAAGGUUUUGUCCUAGUACGUACUUCGGUAUCGCAAUUUAAUGCCACUACAAAAUGAUUAUACUCUCUGUAGACACACACAACAAACCUCAACAAAAACAUAUGCUGCAAUGAAUAUAGACAUUAAUAAAACGUUCUUCAUUUAUAUAGAGACAAACAUAAUGCACUAUACUUAGAGAACAAUGGUGGAAUGUGGAUUGAUAUAAACAUGUACAUAUAUAUAUAUAUAUAUGAAGUAACGGACAAUAUAUAUAUGGAGCUGAUUGAAAUUAAGUUAUUCACUACAGGUUGGUGUCCCGGCCGGAAUACAAGUGGAUGAUAGCAUCAGGAGUCAAGAGUGUCGGCUGCUGGUUCACAUCAAUCUACAGGCAUAUGUUUAUGUACGCAAUUUUAAAGAUCUUACGUACGAUAUAUAUAUAUUGG